CUUGUGGGGGUGUCCCUCAGCCCGGAUUGCAAGAGGGUGCAGGCCAGGCCAAGGGACCCCAUCAGUGCCGG
RNAcentral lists this microRNA precursor (71 nucleotides) under Myotis lucifugus (little brown bat). RNAcentral describes it as "mir-9193 microRNA precursor family". It matches the Rfam family "mir-9193 microRNA precursor family". Lineage: Eukaryota; Metazoa; Chordata; Mammalia; Chiroptera; Vespertilionidae. The record is from Rfam by way of RNAcentral.